RNAcentral lists this long non-coding RNA (1061 nucleotides) under Pan troglodytes (chimpanzee). RNAcentral's name for it is "lncRNA (ENSPTRG00000054505.1)". Lineage: Eukaryota; Metazoa; Chordata; Mammalia; Primates; Hominidae. The record is from RNAcentral.
AGAGCUGUCCUUUGUCCCCACUGUUUCCAUGGUCUAAGCAACAAGGUUGAAAUGUGCAAAAUGUGAUUUGUGCUCUGUUGGCUAAAGACAGCAGGUGUGUUGGUCAACAAGGGUGGAAAAGGAGGAAAGUGGUGGGCUCCAGGUGCAGAGAGGGGACCCAAGAAGGUCUAGAAAUGGCAGAGAGGAAGCAUCCACCACCCGGCGUGCACAUCACACAAAGACGGUUCUGCUUCCCUCGCCUGUUUAAUAUGAAACUCAGUGAGAAUUGAUGAAGUCAUUUUUUAAGCCAUAAAGCACUGCAAACACAUUUGUAUUAUUUUUCUUCUGUGCCAUGGGUAGUUUUUUUUUUUUUUUCAAUUCUCAGAUGUUUAGCAAACACGGGCUAUCUUCCAAAAAAUGUAAUUUUGUGGAUGGAUACAUUUAAAAAUGGUAUGCUUUGGUCAAGUCGGUAAUGUCUAUUUUUCUUUAUUGAUGACUUCUCGUUUCAGUGGGUCACUGACAAGAAAAUUCACCUGGAGGCCAAAUUGUCUCUAAUAACAAGUCCAAGACAUGCAUUCCAGCUGGAAUCCUCUUCCCGGAUGGUUGUGUGUUUUUAAUUGCAGUAGCCAUCUCCAAAAAUGCCAUCCAGUAACCAUGCCCUUGUGUGCUGCCCUUUCCAUGAAUCUGAGCUAGCCCCAUAAUUAGCUUUUGGCCAUUGGAUGGUGGUGGAAGUGAUGCUGUGUGACUUUUGAAGCUGAGUUACAAGCAGCCUUGGAGAGUCUUUCUAGACCUCGUGGAGGGCUCACUCUGGGGGAAGCCAACCAGCAUGUAAGGAGCAUAACUGCCCUGAGACCGCCGUGUUGUUAGGAUGCCCAGCUAGCUAUGUGGAGAAGCUGCAUAGACUGAGGGAGAAGCCCAGCUAGUCCCCAGUUAUUCCUGCCACCCUAACUGAGGCACCAGACCCAUGAGCAAAGAAACCAUCAUGGAUGUCCUGUCCCAUCCAGCUUCUGUGACUGUAACUGUAUGAGGACCCCAGUGAAAACCACGCAGCUGAGCCUAGUCAACACACAGAGCUAUGGAAG